Molecule: ribosomal RNA, 220 nt
Filed under: uncultured bacterium
Lineage: Bacteria
Description: partial 16S ribosomal RNA
Rfam family: Bacterial small subunit ribosomal RNA
Source: RNAcentral
UAAUGUAUGGGGAUCUGCCCGAUAGAGGGGGAUAACUACUGGAAACGGUGGCUAAUACCACAUAAUGUCUACGGACCAAAGCAGGGGCUCUUCGGACCUUGCACUAUCGGAUGAACCCAUGUGGGAUUAGCUAGUAGGUGGGGUAAAGGCUCACCUAGGCGACGAUCUCUAGCUGGUCUGAGAGGAUGAUCAGCCACACUGGGACUGAGACACGGCCCAG